RNAcentral lists this ribosomal RNA (468 nucleotides) under uncultured bacterium. RNAcentral's name for it is "partial 16S ribosomal RNA". It matches the Rfam family "Bacterial small subunit ribosomal RNA", at positions 28 to 507 of the family's 1533-position model. The record is from RNAcentral.
GACGAACGCUGGCGGCGUGCUUAACACAUGCAAGUCGAACGGAAAGGCCCUGCCUUGGUGGGGAGCGGGGGGGGCGAACGGGGGACCAACACGUGAGUACCCUGUCCUUGCCCUAGGGAUGAGUUAAGGAAACUGGGGCUAAUACGGGCUAGGAGCUCCUGCUGCAGGGUGGGGGUGGGAUAGUUUCGGCGGUUGGGGAUGGGCUCGCGGCUCAUCAGGUUGGUGGUGGGGUAGUGGAAUACCAAGGCUUGGACGCGUGGCCGGCCUGCGAGGGUGACCGGCCACAUUGGGCCUGGGAUGCGGCCCAGCCUCCUCCGGGAGGCAGCAGUGCGGAAUAUUGCACUAUGGGCGGAAGCCUGAUGCAGCCACGCCGCGUGCGGGAUGACGUCCUUCGGGUUGUAUACCACUUUCGCCUGUGACGAAGCGUGAGUGACGGUACUGGGUGAAGAAGCACCGGCUAACUACGUG